Molecule: ribosomal RNA, 253 nt
Filed under: uncultured bacterium
Lineage: Bacteria
Description: partial 16S ribosomal RNA
Rfam family: Bacterial small subunit ribosomal RNA
Source: RNAcentral
UACGGAGGGGACUAGCGUUGUUCGGAAUUACUGGGCGUAAAGCGCACGUAGGCGGAUUUGUAAGUCAGGGGUGAAAUCCCGGGGCUCAACCUCGGAACUGCCUUUGAUACUGCAAAUCUCGAGUCCGGAAGAGGUGAGUGGAAUUCCUAGUGUAGCGGUGAAAUGCGCAGAUAUUAGGAAGAACACCGGUGGCGAAGGCGGCUCUCUGGAACGGUACUGACGCUGAGACGCGAAAGCGUGGGGAGCGAACAGG